This 440-nucleotide ribosomal RNA is filed under the name uncultured bacterium. Its description in RNAcentral is "partial 16S ribosomal RNA". It matches the Rfam family "Bacterial small subunit ribosomal RNA", at positions 338 to 795 of the family's 1533-position model. The record is from RNAcentral.
CCUACGGGCGGCAGCAGUGGGGAAUAUUGCACAAUGGGGGAAACCCUGAUGCAGCGACGCCGCGUGAGUGAAGAAGUAAUUCGUUAUGUAAAGCUCUAUCAGCAGGGAAGAAAAUGACUGUACCUGAGUAAGAAGCCCCGGCUAACUACGUGCCAGCAGCCGCGGUAAGACGUAGGGGGCAAGCGUUAGCCGGAUUUACUGGGUGUAAAGGGAGCGGAGACGGCAGUGCAAGUCUGGAGUGAAAGGCGGGGGCUCAACCCCCGGACUGCUCUGGAAACUGUACGGCUGGAGUGCAGGAGAGGUAAGUGGAAUUCCUAGUGUAGCGGUGAAAUGCGUAGAUAUUAGGAGGAACACCAGUGGCGAAGGCGGCUUACUGGACUGUAACUGACGUUGAGGCGCGAAAGCGUGGGGAGCAAACAGGAUUAGAUACCCCAGUAGUC